This 24-nucleotide non-coding RNA is filed under the name Arabidopsis thaliana (thale cress). The record is from RNAcentral. Lineage: Eukaryota; Viridiplantae; Streptophyta; Magnoliopsida; Brassicales; Brassicaceae.
AGCUCGAUGGAUCUUUGGAAACGC